This 497-nucleotide ribosomal RNA is filed under the name uncultured bacterium. RNAcentral describes it as "partial 16S ribosomal RNA". It matches the Rfam family "Bacterial small subunit ribosomal RNA", at positions 28 to 507 of the family's 1533-position model. The record is from RNAcentral.
GAUGAACGCUGGCGGCGUGCCUAAUACAUGCAAGUCGAGCGAACAGACGAGGAGCUUGCUCCUCUGACGUUAGCGGCGGACGGGUGAGUAACACGUGGAUAACCUACCUAUAAGACUGGGAUAACUUCGGGAAACCGGAGCUAAUACCGGAUAAUAUAUUGAACCGCAUGGUUCAAUAGUGAAAGACGGUUUUGCUGUCACUAAUAGAUGGAUCCGCGCCGCAUUAGCUAGUUGGUAAGGUAACGGCUUACCAAGGCAACGACGCGUAGCCGACCUGAGAGGGUGAUCGGCCACACUGGAACUGAGACACGGUCCAGACUCCUACGGGAGGAAGCAGUAGGGAAUCUUCCGCAAUGGGCGAAAGCCUGACGGAGCAACGCCGCGUGAGUGAUGAAGGUCUUCGGAUCGUAAAACUCUGUUAUUAGGAAAGAACAAAUGUGUAAGUAACUAUGCACGUCUUGACGGUACCUAAUCAGAAAGCCACGGCUAACUACGUG